GGCGGAGCCGGAAGUGCUGGCUGUACAGAUUGGCCAUAGCCCAGAGGCGGUGCUUUGGGCGCUGGAGGUCCUGGCCAAUCAGAGCACAAGCUCCAUUUGCAGCAGCGCCUGCGGUUCCUGAGCGCCGCCACCAG
Molecule: long non-coding RNA, 134 nt
Organism: Melospiza melodia melodia
Lineage: Eukaryota; Metazoa; Chordata; Aves; Passeriformes; Passerellidae
Exons: 3
Source: RefSeq, a predicted model, not a curated record